RNAcentral lists this long non-coding RNA (2323 nucleotides) under Pan troglodytes (chimpanzee). Its description in RNAcentral is "long non-coding RNA NONPTRT010846". The record is from RNAcentral. Lineage: Eukaryota; Metazoa; Chordata; Mammalia; Primates; Hominidae.
UAGGUAAAGAAUUAUAUCCAUAUUAAUAAACACUGCCAAAAUAUCCUAAAGUCUAUAUAAAAAGUAUGCAUUACAAAUUAAUGAGUGUAAAUUGUGAGACUACUCUCACACAAUCCCUGAAAUGAUUAAAGACUACUCUUAACUAUUACUGAAAUAGUGCUUGGUCCCUGAAUGAUGUAAUCCUUGUGCAAAGACCCCUCAAGAUACGUCAAAGCACAAAAGAUAACAGAGGAAAGGAAACAAACGUAUUACAACUUCUGAUAUAAACAUUCCUCAUAAGUUUGGAAUUUUUCAUAAUUCCUGGGGUAAAAGUUCUUAGAAUAUGUCACUUUCUGGGAAAUUUAACAGCAAAAGUUUUAGCUACUUUUUUUUUUUUUAUAAUGCAUAAGUGUACAAAGUUCAACAUGUAACAGAUAUAAAGAUGCCAAAGGGUAAAUAAAGCAAUGCAAAUUUACAUAACAAAGCCAUUUGAUAAAUGCCACUAUCAGCUAUUACUAUAUAUUCCAUCCUAUAAUCUCAUAAAUCAAAGCUUUUAACUGCCUAGACUCAUAUGUGACUGUAUUCUUUCCAACAUGCAUUCUUUCUUCUUCCAGGGGUUGUUCAAUAACAGCAGGUAUGUUUCUGCCAUGAAGUUCACAGUGUUCUAGAAACUGGACACAUUCUUGAAUAACACUAUCACGAAGCAUGAUUGUGUGUUUUGACAUGUUUUCUAACAAGGACAGGAAGCAUCUUUUGGCAUAAUACCAGGUGUCUGUUCCCAGCUUUUUGUUGUAAGGUUCCAAGCUUUUGAUAACUCGAGAAAUACCAAAGUCAUAAUUUCCUUUGGCACAAUAAAGAGUUCCUAUCACCAAAUUCACAAUGCAGAGAUGGUACAUUUUCUUAUCUGGGUCAUCAUAAGAGAGCUGCUCUUCCUCCUUUUCAAUCUUCCUCAUCAACUCCUCUGCUUCUUCAUUUUGACUUGUCAUAAUAUAGGAAACACAGAGAUUAGCCAGUACAAUAGCACUGACAUUCAGGAUGUUAUCAUAAUGCUUCUUGACUACGGGUUCAUAGAAACCAAUGGCUUCUUUGUAUUUGUUUUCCUGCAUGAACAGAACAUGAGCCACAUUCAACUUCCACACAUCAUGGUCGUUACAGAAUUCCACAGAUUUGCGGAAGAUCUUUUCCACCAUUGGAUAAUUUUCAAGAUUCCAGUAGAUUUUUGCCUGAGCCAUCAACACAGGAAUAUAUUUCUCCAUGGUUUCAUCAUAUUCAUUCACUGCCUUUUUGAUAGCUUCAUCAUCUCUAUUGUGUCUUGCUUCCUGUACUUGUAUGGCAAGCUUCCGGAGGACCUCAGUCAGCAUCCCUGCUAGCCCAUCAAGCUUAAUGAAAGCCUCUUCAGGAGCUGUCUGGCAAGUGAUCACAGCGUCCAAGAAGUCAUAGAGAUAGGGUGUGAGGAACUUAUAAGUCAAAUGGGCAUUUUCUGCCAGGACAUCUGCUGCCAGGUCAAAAUACUCAUAUUUACAGUAGAGCAGCAACAGGUUGCCAAAAGUCUCUGGAGGAAAGGGAUUCUGUUGGAGCAAAAACUGUAGCUUUUCAAACCCUUCCGUAGGCCUGGCAUCCAUGUUCAUUAGUGCCUGGUUGUGUAGGGUCACAGGGUCCAAUUCUUCCUCUGCCCUGGGUGGCAUGUCGGUGAGGGUUUCUUGAGCUACCUCAUAGUUUCUCAGUUGGUAUUCUAUGGCUGCCUUAAGGUUGAAGGCUUCCACCAGAGCAGUCUGAUGGAGAACUAAGGUGUUGCCAACACUGCGAACAUCAAAGCCCUCGGUGGUCAUGCCCACACCUAGCUCAGGAUGCUGGCGGAUGCCACGCUCAAUAAUCUCAGCGAUAUGCUUCAGUGCUGAAGCAUACUGUCGGCUGCUGUAAUAGGCCAAAGCCAGGUUGUAGGAAAGGUCAGGCUGGUAGCCCGAGGCCUGCAGUGCGGCAGAAAACUUGGAGCAUGCAGCUUCAUACUGUCCCUCCUUGUAGAGCAAACAACCCAGGUUGACCUGGCCAUCGGUCUCAUUGUCGCCUCCACUUUCUUCUCCCCCUUCCCCACUCAGCAGCUGCUCCACCAGGCUCCUGGACCCUGGCAGAUCGCCCUCGCUAUACUUGAUGGCAGCUUGCAGGCGGAGGACCCGGCUGUGGUAGGCGGGGUUAUCCAGGAGAAGGAAGGCGACCCGAGUGGCCUCCGGAUAAAGGCAGGCCUUGUACAGGGCCUGGGCCUGGUACAGGCGGUACUGCUCCAGUUCCGGGUGCAGCUGGCCCAGCUGCUCAUAGCACUCGGCCGCCAGCGCGAACUCCUGCAGGC